RNAcentral lists this long non-coding RNA (1115 nucleotides) under Felis catus (domestic cat). Its description in RNAcentral is "lncRNA (ENSFCAG00000051111.1)". Lineage: Eukaryota; Metazoa; Chordata; Mammalia; Carnivora; Felidae. The record is from RNAcentral.
AUUGAAAGAGAAAUUUCUCCCCCUGAGAGGGUCUCUGAAGAUAGCUAUCUUUGACAUUGAUGCAUCUCCCUCUUGGCCAGAAGCCACAGAGAUGGGUCCCCCUCAUGUUAGAUCAUUAAUUGUUCAUCUCCAGGUUUGCACGCACUAAGCUGAGAACCGAGGCAAUUAUGCAAUUAAGUCAAGCAAAAAACGAUGCUUGUGCUCCACUGAGCCACAAUUUUAGUUGACAGUUGCUUUGACUUGACUUGUCCUGAUAAUUGCUUCAAGUCCUACAUGACCCUCUGACAGAAAGUGUGAGCUCCUUUGGAGAGUGUGUGAUUUGCGGGGGACAGUUCCACCAUCUUCUUCCAGAAAAGUGGGGAAUGGAUACUGAUAUGUUUCAUUGACGUCAAAUACAACCCGUGUUAGUUGGGAUUUGCCCAGAGGCUGAUCCUAAGACAAGAUCCCAAAUCCAUUGGAUUAUCCCGGAAGUGAUUCCGGGAAGUGUUGGUUGAGGGAUGAGGGUGUAAGACCGCAAGUUACCUCUGCGGGUAACGAGCUUACCCCCACGGGGCACAUCUAAGAACCAGUGUAGGCACCCUGCUCAGAAUUCCUGCCUGAGGGAGAUACACAGACCCCCCAGUGGUCACUGUUCAGGGCCUUUACCGGAGGCAUUAGCCCUUUAGCACUUGGGGCACAGUGGGCUCCAGCUUACAGGGAAAGCCAUCGGGCAAAGGCAGAUGUUGGCCUGUGAAGUCUGGCCGGCAGGCUCCGCAAAGAGGAGUCCCAAAGGGAACAGACGGGGCACCAGCUCUACGUCCAGACCUCCUCAAGCCAAAAACCCUCACUUUUUGCCCCUCCAGAUCUAGCUCCACCUUUCUUUUAUUCUCUGCUUUCAGAACAAGUUCUGAUGUUCGGACCUGACCUUGACGAGCGUGCACCUUGUCAUUCUCCUGGAGAAGAUUACUUGUACAGCUCAGUAUGGCGUCAUGGAGCAAUCACCAGCACGGCAGUCAGAGAAGACGGCGUUUGAAUCUUGCCUCCAGCACCCAUGAGCUAUGUGCUGGUAGACAUGUAAUGAAGUCACGCCUCAGUCCGUCCAUUAAAAAUUAAAGGUAAGGAUGGCCACCAAAGGU